Molecule: long non-coding RNA, 350 nt
Filed under: Brassica napus (rape)
Lineage: Eukaryota; Viridiplantae; Streptophyta; Magnoliopsida; Brassicales; Brassicaceae
Description: long non-coding RNA (BNAP_LNC009994)
Source: RNAcentral
GGUUGUCGUACAAAUAUGUACAAAGAUGGCAAAAAAUGAUUGGUUGUGGGAAAAGAGUGAGAUCCCCAACAGAAAUUGAACAAGCAAUAUAUGAUCCUUAACCACUUCUCUUCUUUCAUUUGAAAAAAAAAUCCAUUUAAUAUGUAGUAAUAUAUCAUAUAAAGUGUAUGUAUUUGGAGCGCACGUAAGGACGUAGAGCGGAUGGUAGGGUAAAAUGGGGAUGCAUGGCUUGCAGUUGUAGAUCGAUGAAAUUAUGAAAGUGAGAUAUACAAAUAAGACAGCAAAACAAAAGUGGGUCACUUAGAAAAGAUCCCAACGUAGAGAGCAUAAUAUUAGAUGUCUCUUCUUUG